UAAAACAACAAAGGCAAGUGAUUGUCUCUGCUACUGACGUUGUUGACAACAAUGCAUUAUUGGCUAGAUCCAACUUUAAAAAUGAAAAUAUUGAAAAAGAAAAUUCUAAGAAGAAGGAUAUAAAGAGGGAGAUAGAAUUUGUGAACACUGUAAUGUCCAGGUCACCUGAAGGACUCGUGCUUCAAGGUACAUGGUUAUCC
RNAcentral lists this long non-coding RNA (200 nucleotides) under Carica papaya (papaya). RNAcentral's name for it is "long non-coding RNA (CPAP_LNC002826)". The record is from RNAcentral. Lineage: Eukaryota; Viridiplantae; Streptophyta; Magnoliopsida; Brassicales; Caricaceae.